RNAcentral lists this unclassified non-coding RNA (741 nucleotides) under uncultured Synechococcus sp. RNAcentral's name for it is "partial contains 16S ribosomal RNA and 16S-23S ribosomal RNA intergenic spacer". The stretch from base 1 to 252 matches the Rfam family "Bacterial small subunit ribosomal RNA", at positions 1283 to 1533 of the family's 1533-position model. The record is from RNAcentral. Lineage: Bacteria; Bacillati; Cyanobacteriota; Cyanophyceae; Synechococcales; Synechococcaceae.
GUGGCUCAGUUCAGAUCGUAGGCUGCAACUCGCCUACGUGAAGGCGGAAUCGCUAGUAAUCGCAGGUCAGCAUACUGCGGUGAAUACGUUCCCGGGCCUUGUACACACCGCCCGUCACACCAUGGAAGUUGGCCACGCCCGAAGCCGUUACUCCAACCCUUGUGGAGGAGGACGUCGAAGGUGGGGCUGAUGACUGGGGUGAAGUCGUAACAAGGUAUCCGUACCGGAAGGUGCGGAUGGAUCACCUCCUAACAGGGAGACAACACAAUGAUUUUGAUGCCUGAGUGCUUUUAUUCUUAGGCCGAAAUCCUGUCACCUUAGGUCGAUCGGUACCUCAGCUUUGAAGUUAAGGAUCAGCAGCAAUGUUGAUUGCUUGAUGGAGAUUUUCAGUUCCUAAACUUUGUCUAGGUCACACCCCAAAAGGGAUGAGACUCCUGGGCCAUUAGCUCAGGUGGUUAGAGCGCACCCCUGAUAAGGGUGAGGUCCCUGGUUCAAGUCCAGGAUGGCCCAUUCGGUGUUGGGGGUUUAGCUCAGUUGGUAGAGCGCCUGCUUUGCAAGCAGGAUGUCAGGAGUUCGAGUCUCCUAACCUCCACUGACCGAACUUGAUUCCCAUCUCCAAUUCUUUUGGAGUUGAGCUCGAUUGGAGUGUGAUUUAGAUGUGUCCGCUGGAUGACCCCAGCUUCCUGUCAUUCCAAGUUUUAGGUUGAAGCCUUGAAUUUGGUUGAUAAGAUGCUGGGCUCG